RNAcentral lists this ribosomal RNA (479 nucleotides) under uncultured Rhodoferax sp. Its description in RNAcentral is "bacterial SSU rRNA". It matches the Rfam family "Bacterial small subunit ribosomal RNA", at positions 903 to 1382 of the family's 1533-position model. The record is from RNAcentral. Lineage: Bacteria; Pseudomonadati; Pseudomonadota; Betaproteobacteria; Burkholderiales; Comamonadaceae.
AAAGGAAUUGACGGGACCCGCACAAGCGGUGGAUGAUGUGGUUUAAUUCGAUAGCAACGCGAAAACCUUACCCACCUUUGACAUGUACGGAAUCCUUUAGAGAGUAGAGGGGUGCUCGAAAGAGAGCCGUAACACAGGUGCUGCAUGGCUGUCGUCAGCUCGUGUCGUGAGAUGUUGGGUUAAGUCCCGCAACGAGCGCAACCCUUGUCAUUAGUUGCUACAUUUGGUUGGGCACUCUAAUGAGACUGCCGGUGACAAGCCGGAAGAAGGUGGGGAUGACGUCAAGUCCUCAUGGCCCUUAUAGGUGGGGCUACACACGUCAUACAAUGGCUGGUACAAAGGGUUGCCAACCCGCGAGGGGGAGCUAAUCCCACAAAGCCAGUCGUAGUCCGGAUCGUAGUCUGCAACUCGACUACGUGAAGUCGGAAUCGCUAGUAAUCGUGGAUCAGGAUGUCACGGUGAAUACGUUCCCGGGUCUU